GCUCGAUCCAGGCGCGCCAACUUUCUUGAGGGGUCGGCUCCGGGCACGCCCCACUUCUGGAGGGGUCGGUUCCAGUGCGAGCACCUCCUGGGGAGAAAACCCGGAACAUUGGGCUCUCAGGACAGGAGCUGAUGUUCCAGCAGCAUCGUGGGCUGAUUUCAUUGGGGCCCGGGGAAGACUUUGUGGAAAUGAGCGCUGCAGGGAGAACUUUUUCUGGGCAUACCGUCUUACACAGGGGGACCACACUGUAUGGAUGGUUGGGGAUCUUGCUGCUUGCACUUGGUAGGUG
Non-coding RNA from Callorhinus ursinus (northern fur seal), 289 nucleotides. NCBI's taxonomy places the organism in Eukaryota, Metazoa, Chordata, Mammalia, Carnivora, Otariidae. The record is from RefSeq and is a predicted model, not a curated record.